This is a long non-coding RNA of Asparagus officinalis (garden asparagus), 622 nucleotides long. RefSeq lists it as uncharacterized. NCBI's taxonomy places the organism in Eukaryota, Viridiplantae, Streptophyta, Magnoliopsida, Asparagales, Asparagaceae. The record is from RefSeq and is a predicted model, not a curated record. The transcript has 2 exons.
CCCCCUUCCUCCUCCGCGAGCCAACUCCUCCGCCGUGAGAUCUCGCCGUCGAGCUGCUGAUCUCACCGUCGACCCCUUUCUCCUCCUCGAGCCAACUCUUCCAACUCCAGCCCCUCCCCUCCCCCAACUCCAGCCCCUCCCCGUUCGACGCCGACGGCAGCUGGUUCGAGCUCUGGAUCGGGGGAUGCGACGGCUCAGAGGAAGAAUAAGAGGCCAAAGUGAACUGCCAAAGCUAGGCCAAGAUGUGGAGAUAGCACACGGCAGUGAAGAGAGGAGGUACACGCGGUGACAAGAGGAGGAGAUUGCAUAGAACGCGGGCAUCAAAAAUAACCCCUCGAGCCUAAAAGAGAACCUGGAACUUACAGCUCGAGGCCACACUUUCUACAAAAUUUAUUAGAACCUGGAGCUAAAAGAGAACCCGAUGUAAUUUGCUCUGUUUUUGUCUGGGUAUUUCUUGCAAUGAUGUAGAUGUGUAUGUAUAUUUAAUGGUUUUGUUAUGUAAAAAUCACAUCUACUGCUGGAUGAAUAUGUUGUAGUUAAUAAUGUUUAGUGUACUGAUCGUUCUUGCUGACUGGUGUUGUUAACAAUGGUUUGGAAUGUGAUGCUCUCCCUGUCUUGACAA